Molecule: long non-coding RNA, 291 nt
Organism: Dendroctonus ponderosae (mountain pine beetle)
Lineage: Eukaryota; Metazoa; Arthropoda; Insecta; Coleoptera; Curculionidae
Exons: 2
Source: RefSeq, a predicted model, not a curated record
GCAAAAUAACUGAAAAAUGUUGAGGGAAUUGUAAUAAUUUAGAAGACAAUGGCUAUUUGUGAGUAAUGAGUGCCUUGUUCCAACCAAGAGAAAUCAAUGGCCAUGUAAUUGAAUUAAAUACGGCUCCAUCCAUUGGCGCAACAGAAUUGCUAAAAACUAUGAUCAAGGAACAAUCUCCACAAUUUCGGCUACAAUUGCAGCAGUUGCUUUAGGCAUGUUUUCACAUUUCUGAAUAUUUUGUACAAGUUUGCUUAAACAACCGGGAAAUAAAUUAACUUAUUUUAACUGAAA